Hevea brasiliensis (rubber tree) is the source of this 2685-nucleotide long non-coding RNA. RefSeq lists it as uncharacterized. Lineage: Eukaryota; Viridiplantae; Streptophyta; Magnoliopsida; Malpighiales; Euphorbiaceae. The transcript has 9 exons. The record is from RefSeq and is a predicted model, not a curated record.
AGUAUAUUUAAAAAAUUAUUUUCUUUAACGGCAGCUCGAAGGCAACGCCAAACUGGAGCUUCAACGGCUGCGAAUUCCAGUCGCAGAAACUCCACAAAGCCAAGGCGGCAAGCGAAGCCCUCAUCCAUCCACCUCAUCGGAUAAAGCUUCUCAAUUCAAAUCUUCGACGACGACAUGAAGAUAAUGGGACAUGCAAUUCUCUCUCACUUUCUCCUCCUCUCCAACUCCCCUCCGUGCCUGGCCUCUUUACCGUCGCUUGAUGGAUUCCGACGAGAAUAUCUGCGAAGCUCGGAGCUAAUUCGUCAAAAUGCGCGAUGCUCUACUUCUUUCCGUUGCCACUCCAGUGUCUCACUCUCGGAGUCCGCUGCUUCGGAGAGUUCUUAGACCUCUGUAAAGUAAUUAUGCUUUUUGGAAAAAGAAACAAAAAGAAAAGAAUAAAGAAAGAACAGUAGAUUAAUACCAUAAUAUACGCAAUAAUUAUGGAGGGCUACAAGGGAUACAGCAGCAAUUUAUGUGGCAUGUGGUGUUGAUAUUUCCAAGUCUUAUGUACGUGCUCAUGUAGAACUAAUGUGGCUUCUAAGUUCUGCCACACCAAUUGGUUGGCUGAACAGAAUGAUUCAGUUUAAGGAGAAAUCCCGCAAGGUGGUAGGUCUACAGCACUAUGAAACUCAAUACCCAGCCACUUGGUGAUGAAAAUGUUGGGGUUGCUCUUUUGACUUAUCCUGUUCUGAUGGCAUCUGAUAUUCUUCUGUAUCAGAUGGUUUUUAGAACAUGCAGAUCUUUUGUAAUGCUAAAUUGCUAUUUGCUAAUGAGAAGAAUUUGUGUUUCUUCGACGUUUUUAUGCAAAUAUGUAGAUCUUUAAUAAUUAAUUUGUUUCUGCAGACAAAUAAUAGAAGGUAGCACUGGGAGCAAGGGAAUGGGUUUCCUAAAUUUUCAUUUAUUAUAUGAUAGUUAUUAAUAAUCUGAUAACAACUAGAUUGGGAUUAAGUUGUUGAAUUGAUUUGAUUGUUAGUGGUUAAUAAAGCAGUAUUGAUUAAUUAUUUAUCACAUCAAGACUUUCUUUGUGCUUAUUUACUUUUUUUUUUUUUUUUGAUGAAUCAUGAUAAAUUGAUAAUCGAAUAUGCACAAUCCUUGCAAUUUGCAGCACGCCUUUGCAAUCCGACUUUGUCCCAGUUGGUGAGGAUCAAAAGCAGCAUCUGGAAUUGACCUGUGAGCUAGCUGAGCGCCUUAAUUAUUUAUAUGGAGGAAGAAAGUGGAAAAAAAAUUUAGAAGGGUCCUGAACCCUGAUACCACCAGCUGAAGCCUGAUUUAUGUCUUUGACUGAUGGUCUUGCCAAGAUGUCCAAGUCUGUGCCUUCUGAUCAAUCUAGAACUAAUCUUCUUGACCCAAAGGUUGUGAGUUGUCACUAUUUGCCUUUAUAUGUAUUUCAUUUUGAAUGAUGCAUUGUUAAAUGUAAUUAAACAUUAGUAAAGUUACAAAAUCUUUUCUUCUCAGAGAGUUGAAGUAAUGGUGGCAUUGCACCAUUUUCUUUUUAUAUAUUUCAAAUUUUGAACAUCAAUUAAAACAUUAGUAAAGGUACGUGCUGUGCAAAAUCUUUAUUCACGGGGAGUUGAAGUAACUCUGGCAGGUUUGUCUGCGUGGGUAAAAAUUACAUCUCAAUCCUCCUGAACUCAACGGUUAAGUUGUAAGUUACAAUUUGUAAUUUUCAUGUGUGCAUUGCUGCAAAUCUCUAAGUAUACUGCCUUCUCUUCCUAAUAUUGAGUAUGUUCUGUGUACUUGAUGGUUAUGAUUUUUGAUAGCGGUAGAGUAUGAUAUUCUAAUUUUCAUGGGUAUUUGAAAAUUGAGUGUGUUUUGAAUAAUUAUACUGUUAUGAUAACAUUGAUAAAGUUCAUGUCAAAUCAAUGAGAAUUGUUAGGGAAAAUUAUCCUUUUGUUAUUUUUUUUAAAAUUUAUUUUACUAAUCUUGUUUGGAUAUCUUCUCAUUGUUAAUAUGUUAUCUUUUCCUGAGUUAUUAAUAGAAAAUGUAACUUUGCUAGUUUGGAAUUUCAGUGUUACCCAUCCUUGAAUUUGUGUAUCAAUUUGUUUUUUUUGCUGUCUCCAUCAGUUGAGGAUAUGUGUUUGUCCACGUGCUGGCAUGAUGCAACCACGCCAUUUUAACCAACUUCUGGGUUCAUUAUAGAGAAAUAAUAUCUGAUUCAGCUUAUUUGGAUAGAGUUUUGGAGGAAGGCGUCACUAAAGCUGGAGGGAUAGCAGAUGCCACUCUCAAUAAUGUAUUCCAGGCAAUGGGAUUCCUGCAGAGAUGAGCAGAAUUGAUGCUAGAGGAAGAAUUUAUAUGAAAAGUUCCACAAGACAGCAACAUUAAAGUUGGCUUUUGGAGGAUCUAUCAUUGCCCACAAUUAUUUGGAGCACGCAAGAGCAUAUAUUUGUAAGUGAAUGGGAUAAGUAUGUGGAAGGCCCAGCAAUUUCUUUCCUUGAUACAGCUGCCUCUACCUAUAGCAUCAAGACAGGUGCCUCUUUUAUUCUCUGUUGAUUAAUGAACUUGCUAAUUUUAUGUGACGCGUUUUUUCCACUCUAUUUAUUGUGCAAUAUACUGGUAAUCUUAUGUUGAUUUUAUUUUCUUUCUUCACAUUAAGCUAUUUGAUCUAAAUUGAUUGUUGGAUGAAAAUUUGUUUUACCAUUUUGCUUA